GCGCCUAUAGCUCAGGGGGAUAGAGCGCCGGUCUCCGGAACCGGGUGCGCAGGUUCGAUUCCUGCUAGGCGCACCA
RNAcentral lists this transfer RNA (76 nucleotides) under Veillonella sp. RNAcentral describes it as "tRNA-Arg". It matches the Rfam family "tRNA". Rfam says of the family: Transfer RNA (tRNA) molecules are approximately 80 nucleotides in length. Their secondary structure includes four short double-helical elements and three loops (D, anti-codon, and T loops). The record is from RNAcentral. Lineage: Bacteria; Bacillati; Bacillota; Negativicutes; Veillonellales; Veillonellaceae.